Molecule: long non-coding RNA, 568 nt
Filed under: Elaeis guineensis (African oil palm)
Lineage: Eukaryota; Viridiplantae; Streptophyta; Magnoliopsida; Arecales; Arecaceae
Description: long non-coding RNA (EGUI_LNC081907)
Source: RNAcentral
UCUAUGCCUCACUCAUCAUGCCAGUAAAUAAAUGUCUAUUGAUACUCAUUCAGCAUUUCCUAACAUCAUGAUCUUCUACUGGAGACCAUCUAUACCUUACUUACAGAAUACAUUGAUGACUUAUACCUUGUUAUUGUAAUAACUUACUGACAUUAUGAACUAAGUAAAAGCCUAAUACAUCACCUCAAAUCUGUGCAAUAACUCAUCCUUGAUUGUUUGCUCUACCAUUCUCCACCAAGGCCAAGCUUCUUUAAAGCACUGCUUCAGUCAAACACUCAUCUGUGGUGACACCUCAGGCUCGAUGAAUAUGCACAUUAAACAUCAACGAAAUUAAUCAUAUGAAAUAACAAUUAAAAUACAUGUCAAAUAAGAAUAUAUAAUUAUAAAACCUACUUAUUCAUUUCCACUGUGAUGGAAAUUUUAUCUGCUUCAAUGGUUGGCUAAGAGCAGGCUGGUUCGAGCCUCUUAUAUGCAUAGGAUCAACUAAACCCAUACUAUGAGGCACAUGAGGUGAAGGAUUGAUAGAGGGCUCCUCCAUAGGCAAUGAACCAUACAUCUCAGCAGGUAG